CCCACUCUGGUCACAUCUGUCCACACUAGACCUAGGGAUUAAUGAGGGCAGGUUCCUGCCUGCAAGUCUCAGAUAAAUAGUGACACAAUCCUUCCAAUUCUGGACGUACCACGGUCCAUGUGUACAAGUUCCAGUAAGAAAAUGUCAUCUUUAACAUUUUUUAAGGCUGUAGCAAUUAAGACAAGAUGCUCUGGAAGUCUUGUCUGGCAACAGCACCUCCAUCAAUGAGCUGACGUCAGGUUCUGCCUCAGGUCCAGUAAGCUCACUGAAGUGGCCCUGUUUGCCUUGCCUCAACCUCUGUGAAUGUGCUCAAGGACUACAGAGGUACAUGGGUUCUCCAUGUGAUGUUUUGCUCUUCUGAUAAACAGAAAAGUAAACCCAGUGCAGAGAGUCUACGGACCACAAACUCAGGAGGAACAGUGAUGCUGAUGACCAUCUGCCUUGGCAGAUCAGCACCUCCACCCUCGCUGUGCACAUGAGAAACUCAAUCAGGUCAGAGCCGCUGUCCUCCUGCCCCGUGUGGUUGGUUUACAGAGAGCCGAUAUCUACCUAUGGUUUCUUCUCCCACCCCGUCAGAGGCACUAACACCAUUGGUUCUGCAGUGCUGUCUCAGAAGAAUCCUAAUUAAAACUUACUUUUCCAUGGCAACUGCUAUAUCUUGAAA
This is a long non-coding RNA of Peromyscus eremicus (cactus mouse), 664 nucleotides long. RefSeq lists it as uncharacterized. The record is from RefSeq and is a predicted model, not a curated record. The transcript is spliced from 2 exons. Lineage: Eukaryota; Metazoa; Chordata; Mammalia; Rodentia; Cricetidae.